This 253-nucleotide ribosomal RNA is filed under the name uncultured Acidobacteriota bacterium. RNAcentral's name for it is "uncultured Acidobacteria bacterium partial 16S ribosomal RNA". It matches the Rfam family "Bacterial small subunit ribosomal RNA", at positions 524 to 776 of the family's 1533-position model. The record is from RNAcentral. Lineage: Bacteria; Pseudomonadati; Acidobacteriota.
UACGGAGGGGGCCAGCGUUGUUCGGAAUCAUUGGGCGUAAAGGGCGCGUAGGCGGCCGGGCAAGUCGGAGGUGAAAGCCCUCGGCUCAACCGAGGAAUUGCCUCUGAUACUGCCUGGCUUGAGUCCCGGAGAGGGUAGCGGAAUUCCCAGUGUAGCGGUGAAAUGCGUAGAUAUUGGGAGGAACAUCGGUGGCGAAGGCGGCUACCUGGACGGGUACUGACGCUGAUGCGCGAAAGCGUGGGGAGCAAACAGG